GACGAACGCUGGCGGCGUGCUUAACACAUGCAAGUCGAACGGAAAGGCCUGCUUUCCCUUGUGGAUUGCGGGUACUCGCGUGGCGAACGGGUGAGUAACACGUGAGUGAUCUGCCCCCAACUUAGGUAUAAGCCUGGGAAACUGGGUCUAAUUCCCGAUAGGACUGCAGGGUGGUGCCUGUGGUUGAAAACGAUUUUCUAGUGGUUGGGGAUGAGCUCGCGGCCUAUCAGCUUGUUGGUGGGGUAAUGGCCUACCAAGGCGGCGACGGGUAGCCGGCCUGAGAGGGGGGACGGCGAAACUGGGACUGGGAUAAGGCCCCUACGGCUGCGGGAGGUAGCGGUGGGGAGUAUUGGGGCAUGAGCGGAAGCCUGAUGCAGCGAGGCAGCGUGGGGGAUGACGGGCUUGGGGUUGUAAACUACUUUCGACCGAGAGGAAGCCACCUGGUUGGAAGGGUGGUGACGGUAGUGGUAGAAGAAGCACCGGCUAACUACGUG
Molecule: ribosomal RNA, 494 nt
Filed under: uncultured bacterium
Lineage: Bacteria
Description: partial 16S ribosomal RNA
Rfam family: Bacterial small subunit ribosomal RNA
Source: RNAcentral